Molecule: ribosomal RNA, 404 nt
Filed under: uncultured bacterium
Lineage: Bacteria
Description: partial 16S ribosomal RNA
Rfam family: Bacterial small subunit ribosomal RNA
Source: RNAcentral
AUUGAACGCUGGCGGCAGGCCUAACACAUGCAAGUCGAGCGAGCGGCGGACGGGUGAGUAAUGCCUGGGAAUUGCCCAGUCGAGGGGGAUAACAGUUGGCAACGACUGCUAAUACCGCAUACGAUUUGAUUGCCCAGGUGCGAUUCGCUAGUUUGUGCGGUAAUGGCUCACCAAGGCGACGAUCCAUAGCUGGUCUGCGAGGAUGAUCAGCCACACUGGAACUGAGACACGGGCCAGAAGCCUACGGGAGGCAGCAGUGGGGAAUAUGGCAAAAUGGGGGAAGCCCUGAUGCAGCCAUGCGGCGUGUGUGAAGAAGUCCUUCGGGUUGGAAAGCACGUUCAGCGAGGAGGCGUUACUCGCAGAAGAAGCACCGGCUAACUCCGUGCCAGCCGCCGCGGUAAUUC